RNAcentral lists this ribosomal RNA (465 nucleotides) under uncultured Klebsiella sp. RNAcentral's name for it is "bacterial SSU rRNA". It matches the Rfam family "Bacterial small subunit ribosomal RNA", at positions 338 to 795 of the family's 1533-position model. Lineage: Bacteria; Pseudomonadati; Pseudomonadota; Gammaproteobacteria; Enterobacterales; Enterobacteriaceae. The record is from RNAcentral.
CCUACGGGAGGCUGCAGUGGGGAAUAUUGCACAAUGGGCGCAAGCCUGAUGCAGCCAUGCCGCGUGUGUGAAGAAGGCCUUCGGGUUGUCAAGCACUUUCAGCGGGGAGGAAGGCGGUGAGGUUAAUAACCUCAUCGAUUGACGUUACCCGCAGAAGAAGCACCGGCUAACUCCGUGCCAGCAGCCGCGGUAAUACGGAGGGUGCAAGCGUUAAUCGGAAUUACUGGGCGUAAAGCGCACGCAGGCGGUCUGUCAAGUCGGAUGUGAAAUCCCCGGGCUCAACCUGGGAACUGCAUUCGAAACUGGCAGGCUAGAGUCUUGUAGAGGGGGGUAGAAUUCCAGGUGUAGCGGUGAAAUGCGUAGAGAUCUGGAGGAAUACCGGUGGCGAAGGCGGCCCCCUGGACAAAGACUGACGCUCAGGUGCGAAAGCGUGGGGAGCAAACAGGAUUAGAUACCCCAGUAGUC